This is a long non-coding RNA of Salvia miltiorrhiza (redroot sage), 426 nucleotides long. RefSeq lists it as uncharacterized. The transcript has 2 exons. The record is from RefSeq and is a predicted model, not a curated record. NCBI's taxonomy places the organism in Eukaryota, Viridiplantae, Streptophyta, Magnoliopsida, Lamiales, Lamiaceae.
UUCAAUGCUCUGCCUACUGUGAAUGAGAUGGAAUUGAUUUCAGCUGUUGUUUCUGGACAUCUAGAUCCUUCUGUUAUGGCAUCGGCACCUGUGGUAUAGAAGUCCCGGAAAAACUGGAUCUCACUGCAAAAUUGAAUAUUAAUCGGGGCGAGGCGCCGCCACAGUUCGGGAGGAAGGGGCUGAGGAAGGCAGCGCUCCGGCAUAUCCCGGUGGAGGUGUACGGGUCGAGGCAGGGGUGGGGUCCACGGACUGCCCGAUAUGCCUUGGUGAGUUUGUGGAUGGAGACAAGAUGAGGGUGCUGCCCAAAUGCUUAGAUGGAGAAUAUGCAUUAUGAGAUAUAACAUAUUGUUUGAAUGUAAUAUUUAAUGAAUAAUGUUUGAAUGAAUGUAUGGAUUUUUAGUAUUAAUAUAUGUAUUUUUAGUUUUC